AACCUGCGGAAGGAUCAUUAUUGAAUAAACUUGGUUGGGUUGUGCUGGCUUUUCGGAGCAUGUGCAUGCCUAGCGCCAUUUUUACCACCUGUGCACAUUUUGUAGAUUUGAAACAAUUCUCGAGGAAACUCGGUUUGAGGAAUGCUGUGCGGAAGCUUAGCUUUUCUUGUGUUCCAAGUCUAUGUUUUUAUAUACCCCAUAAGAAUGUAAUAGAAUGUCAUUAAUGGGCUUUGUUGCCUUUAAAUUAAUACAACUUUCAACAACGGAUCUCUUGGUUCUCGCAUCGAUGAAGAACGCAGCGAAAUGCGAUAAGUAAUGUGAAUUGCAGAAUUCAGUGAAUCAUCGAAUCUUUGAACGCACCUUGCGCUCCUUGGUAUUCCGAGGAGCAUGCCUGUUUGAGUGUCAUUAAAUUCUCAACCUUUCCAGCUUUUGCAAGUUGGAUUGGCUUGGAUGUGGAGGGUUUUGCGGGCUUCUCAGAAGUCGGCUCCUCUUAAAUGCAUUAGCAGAACCUUUGUGGACCAGCUUUGGUGUGAUAAUUAUCUAUGCCAUUGUUGUAAAGCAGCUUUUAUAUGGGGUUCAGCUUCUAAUAGUCCAUUGACUUGGACAAUUUCUGACAUUUGACCUCAAAUC
This 630-nucleotide ribosomal RNA is filed under the name Lepista saeva. Its description in RNAcentral is "eukaryotic LSU rRNA". The stretch from base 252 to 405 matches the Rfam family "5.8S ribosomal RNA". Lineage: Eukaryota; Fungi; Basidiomycota; Agaricomycetes; Agaricales; Clitocybaceae. The record is from RNAcentral.